CUCGUAGUCGGAUUUCGGGGCGGCUUCGUCGGUCUGCCGAUGGGUAUGCACUGACGCGGGCGUCCUUCCUUCCGGAGACGCGUCCUACUCUUAGCUGAGCGGGGCGUGGAGACGGAUCGUUUACUUUGAAAAAAUCAGAGUGUUUCAAGCAGGCAUCAUCGCUCUUGCAUGGAUUAGCAUGGGAUAAUGAAAUAGGACCUUGGUGCUAUUUUGUUGGUUUCGAGCACCGAAGUAAUGAUUAACAGGGACAGUCAGGGGCACUCGUAUUCCGCCGAGAGAGGUGAAAUUCUCAGACCAGCGGAAGACGAACCACUGCGAAAGCAUUUGCCAGGGAUGUUUUCACUGAUCAAGAACGAAAGUUAGGGGAUCGAAGACGAUCAGAUACCGUCGUAGUCUUAACCAUAAACCAUGCCGACUAGGGAUUGGAGGAUGUCCACUUUUGACUUCUUCAGCACCUUACGGGAAACUAAAGUCUUUGGGUUCCGGGGGGAGUAUGGUCGCAAGGCUGAAACUUAAAGGAAUUGACGGAAGGGCACCACCAGGAGUGGAGCCUGCGGCUUAAUUUGACUCAACACGGGGAAACUUACCAGGUCCAGACAUUGUGAGGAUUGACAGAUUGAGAGCUCUUUCUUGAUUCGAUGGGUGGUGGUGCAUGGCCGUUCUUAGUUGGUGGAGUGAUUUGUCUGGUUAAUUCCGUUAACGAACGAGACCUUAGCCUAUUAAAUAGUGUCGCGAACACUUGGUUCGCGUU
This is a ribosomal RNA of 751 nucleotides. It matches the Rfam family "Eukaryotic small subunit ribosomal RNA", at positions 627 to 1382 of the family's 1831-position model.